GAUGAACGCUGGCGGCGUGCUUAACACAUGCAAGUCGAACGAAGCACUUAUCUUGCUUGCAAGAAAAGUGACUGAGUGGCGGACGGGUGAGUAACGCGUGGGCAACCUGCCUUACACUGGGGGAUAACAGUUGGAAACGACUGCUAAUACCGCAUAUGCACACAGUAUCACAUGAUACAGUGUUGAAAACUCCGGUGGUGUAAGAUGGGCCCGCGUCUGAUUAGCUAGUUGGUGAGGUAAUGGCUCACCAAGGCGACGAUCAGUAGCCGGCUUGAGAGAGUGAACGGCCACAUUGGGACUGAGACACGGCCCAAACUCCUACGGGAGGCAGCAGUGGGGAAUAUUGCACAAUGGGGGAAACCCUGAUGCAGCAACGCCGCGUGAGCGAAGAAGUAUUUCGGUAUGUAAAGCUCUAUCAGCAGGGAAGAUAAUGACGGUACCUGACUAAGAAGCCCCGGCUAACUACGUGCCAGCCGCCGCAGUAA
RNAcentral lists this ribosomal RNA (485 nucleotides) under uncultured bacterium. RNAcentral's name for it is "partial 16S ribosomal RNA". It matches the Rfam family "Bacterial small subunit ribosomal RNA", at positions 28 to 523 of the family's 1533-position model. The record is from RNAcentral.